CCAGAGGCGGCCUCCAAAACCCGGUAAAUCCCGGAAGCCAGUCACGUCUGCAAAACGCUGUCUGGCUUUCUCACCCGCCCGUCAGAAAUGGGUUUCCAAAUCGAGUACGCGGGCCUCUCACCGUUACGGCCUCUCCCGUUGUGGAGCACAGGCUCCGGACGCGCAGGCUCAGCGGCCAUGGCUCACGGGCCCAGCCGCUCCGCGGCAUGUGGGAUCUUCCCGGACCAGGGCACGAACCCGUGUCCCCUGCAUCGGCGGGCAGACUCUCAACCACUGCGCCACCAGGGAAGCCCAAGAGGAACUGUGCUAAGUGCGGAGGAUGCCGAAGUGACUGAAACAUGAUGCUGACGAGAUGACAACAAACUUAAACAUGUAACUUAAAUAUUUCCUCUUCUGCUUCUGGCUUUUGCUUUGCCCAAAGGGGAGCUAUUUCUCUUGGAAGAGAGUGGACAAAUGUGUAGCAGGUGAACAGAAUCGUGUUUGCGUUCCAGCUGUUGCACCAGCUGUGUCACAGUGACAGUGGCCUCCACCUGUCUCACUCCUGCUUCCGCCAGUUCAGAACCAAGUUAUUUUUAUACUCAUAUCAUGGGACAGCCCAAGUGGUGAUGGAAGUUCUUUAAUGCUGGAUUUGGAACCGAAUGCAUUCUGGUUUCUGGAAAUCCAUGUACUAAAUGGCUACUUCCACAGCAACAGACACAACACGUAAAAUGCAGCAAUAGUCCAUAGCUGCUGGUGGUGGAGUCGAUCCCCUUAUUUCGAAGGAGAGGAGGAACCUUGGACACAAUGAAGGGUUGACCCAAAGUCAUCUGACAACCUAGAGGACAAGCCAGGGCUACUCAAAUCUCCUGGCUCUGAUUCCAUGUUCUUUUUGUUGAGGCAGUCAUGACAUCACCCACCAAACGAGUGCAGAUUUUAAUCUCCCUCAUUAAGAGGCCUGCUGGCUGUACGACUCAUGCAUACGCAUCAUGAUGGUUCCUGGGUGGUUGACACUCAUCACCCUCUGACUUCAUUUUUUUUUCUUCCUUUGCAAGAUGGUUAUUGCCCAGAGCCAGCGUCCCUUUUCCAAAAAGUGAACAUGCCAGAAGGGUUUUUGGAAACUGCCUUGAUAUCUGUCAGGAGCCAGAUGAUUCGCAGCAAUGAACCAAUACACAUAACGAGGAUAACUGAUUGGAUUACCAAUUAGCCACCUCCACCUCUGGAGGGUGGUUGGAAAGAAGAGAAAAGGCAGUGUUUAGUUUGGGCAAAUACCAAGAGGACUUUAUCAUCCUCAUCAAGACAUCAGCACGGCACAUUAGGCCUCCUCCAAGCCAUUCCAUGGGAACGUCUCUCUCCAGAUGCUCCAGCAAGAGCAAACUUGCUAUGCAGACAUUGGGUUAUUGUGUCUGAGUUACAGAAGCAUCCCUGGGUUCAGCGAGAGGGGAGAAACUGGUUGACUUGCAUCUGUUUUUAAUGAUGUCUCUGCUGCUGGGGAGUUUUGGAAGCUGCAGGUAAAAUCUUCCCCCAAGAAAGCGAGGCUGACCUGGGAUGUAUCAUCUUACCUUCACCCGACAGAAGCUCCUUGGUUUGGGUAGGCCUUGGGAGGGACAGGCAGCUGUUUUCUCCAUUUGGACCCAGCAAGAAGUGUCCCAGUGUGGGGUCUCUGGGUUUUUCUUGAAAAUAAGCACAAACAUGGGCAGUGUUAGCACCAGUGCAGGGGAGGGAGGCUGAACCUGGACCGUGCUCCCUGAAUCCCCAGCGGGCAGAUGCCGGUGUGCUCAGGAACUUGCCAGGGUGCAGGGCCAGCCCCACGCCUGGGAUUCGGCAGAGCAGGGCCAGGGUUCACGCCCCAUCAUCUGGAGUCAGUGUGGGAUGAACAGGGCGGGGCUGCCACAGCCUACGACGUGCCUUCUGUGAAGGUCUAGAAAAGGGGGAAUCCUCUGGUUUCAGGCAGCCCUCCAGGCACAAGGUGAACCUGGAGGGGGCACCUUGUGUGAAGGAAAGGGAGCCCCAUCCUCCAAGUGUGUGCAGCCCAGCUCCUGGGCACAGGGCUCAGUGGUUCCAGCCUCUGCUUCCUGCUCUGUCACACGCCUUUGUGCAGUACUCAGCGGCACAGCUGUGCCCUGUGGUUCAAGUGCUGGGACUGCUUAGUGACUCCAAGGGGCUCAGGCCAAGGAGGAGAAGGAAGCUCUAUUUCUCUCAGUUGCUUAGAAAUAUUGAGGGUGUUUCUAUAACUUUACCUUCCCCAUUUCCAAGGCAAAAAGGUCAGGAGUAGAGCUGGCAAUCAGCCACAGUGGAUGCUUACAAGUGUGUAAACACACAUAUACGCAGAGGCAUCACACACACGGAAACACACAUACUUACACCAAGGUGUGCACUCACACGUACAUAUAUACACACUCACAAGGCACGCACACAUAUGCAGGUGUGCCUGCAAGGACACACAUGUAUCACACAUGAGGAAGGACACACAGCAACACAUGUGUACUUGUUCGCAGGCAGGCCUGCAUGCCUGCAUAAUCACACAUACAUACACGAGCACACAAGUAUACACAUGUACUCCCAUAGCUAUAUAAGCACACACAUACCCUAAGACACACGUGUGCCCCCAUACACACAUUCAUUUACACACACUCAGCCUACACACUUGAGGCUUCAGGCUGCACUCGUCAUAGUCACAGCCCUGGCAUUCAUUCUAAUCAGGUUCUCCUUUUGUAAGGGUGUCUAAUUCGGCGUGUGUGUGUGUGUGUGUUUGGUGUGAUUUGUUCUGGGCAAUGCAACCUCCUAGGAAUACCCUUGGUGGUGACGCUACUGUACCUAAAGUUCAGUUCAUUAGCUCAAUAUUAAGAGAGCAUCAUUGCCAUGCAAAUAUAAAAGGGAGGAGGUUGUAAGAGAAAGGUUCCAUUUGGAAAUAGUUUGUAAGUUUCUUUGGAGAGAGAGAGAGAGAGAGAGAGAGAAUUUGACUUUGACCAUCCCAGCCUUAAACAGAGGAGCUGCAAGCACAUAUGGAAUUAUUGAUCCAUGUAUUGAAUUUAUGCUUACAAGGCUUCAAAUAUAAAUAAAUGCUUGGGUCGAGGCAGGGGGAGCGCAAGCGAGCAGGAUUUAAAUAGUGAGGCAUCUGUCUCUGAGCGAGCCUGGGAUGGGACGAAAGCUGUGGUAUCUGUUGUCUUCUUGGUAGCUCUCAGUUGCCACAUUCCUCUCGAGUGUGAGCUUCUCUAGGCCCUGAGUGUGAUUCUAUUGUUAACAGAGAUACUUUGUUCACAUUGUCUGGCACCCAAACACACACCAGCUCCUUCAACUGGUGCUCAAUCAGAGAAAGCCACCCAUCAUCCGAUGAGGGAGGAACAGCUGAUUGGGCUGCACUUUCUAGAAAAUGGUUUGUUGGUCUCCAGCAUGGCCCCUCCCUAAGGGAUUUUCAGGGGUCAUUUGGACCCUAAGCAACUUUUGCUUUAUGUGCUGCGUUUAGAUCAAAGCCCCCAUGGAAGCUGUUAUUGCACUGUCUUAGUUUCCUCCUGGACUGUUGGCUCUUAAGGAUAAGAACUCUGAGUGGGGCUAAGUCAUAGAGGGUGUGGCCCUGCCUGCCUCAUCCUUCAGUAGAAAUCCAGAGUCCUUUUCUCUCUGUGUACAGGCCUCAGGCUCUGCCCUGGGCCGGAGGGUGACUCCUCCCCGGGGACUCUUCCUGUUGGCAGCGUCCCCAGGCUCCCUUGCCCCGUGCAGGGUUAUGGCUCGGUGUUGAGAAUGCCUGGUAAACCCAGUAGCGAGUCUCCCUGCUGAGCGCAGGGAGCUGUGUCAUCACACGCUGCUGCCGGGAGCGAGGAAAGCACAGAACAGCUUGGCAGUGCCUGUUGGUGCAGAAAACCCUUAAAACAUGUACUGACUCUUGAGGAAUAUGCAUGGUGACCGUUAAUCCCACUGACAGCAUUGGAAACACUGCUGAUUCCCUUUUUUCAAUGGGGUGGCUUUCAGACAGCUUAUGUGUGGCCCUGGAGGAUGAUUAAAAUGAGCCCAGAGCCACAGACAAGCCAAGAGGGUGCAUCCGUGCACCCCGGGAGUGAUUACCUUGUCCUGCUGCUGGGAGUGCCCCGCCGGCCCGUCUCACAUGGUGGGGGCCCAUGGGGCUGCUGUGGCCUGAUGUCCUGGGGCUGUCCAGGCCCCUCUGGCUCUCUGGACCUUUUCUUCCUUCCGUCAGGGACAGUGGUGGAGUGCCAGCCUGGGGUGCAGCAUCAUCCUCUUCAAAAGCAAAAGGAGAAAAAGUACGAGUGAGAAUUUGGAUCAGUAAGAAAGUGAAGGAACCUCUUUUCUAAUUCUGUUGCUGUGGCUCCUAGUGUCUAGGAUCACUGAUUCCCCUCACUCUCAAGUUUGUCUCUCUUUUCCAGCCCUGCUAAGGAGCAGAGGCCGGGUAUCUCCCACAGCCAAGGUGGGAUUAUCUUGGCUAGAAUAGCAGCCCUACUGUUGGGGAACCUCCAAGAACUGGGAGGAACUGAACAGUGGUUGUUGUUAUCCUCAUCCUAUUGAUGGGCUCCUGAGAUAGGAGAUAGACUAGGGAGGCUGCAAGGUCCUUCCCUAACUGGGGAGACCCCAGCGUUAAAGCUCAUGGGACUAUUGGCUACAGAGUUCCAACCACAAAGCAAUUUUUCUAAGCAGAACCAGUGAUCUCAUGGCUCCUCCAGGUCAUAAAGUACAAAGUAGCCCCUUCUAGAUGGUAGUUAGAGGGUAACAGGAUGGAUGAUAAACGCAAAGCACGUCUUGACCUCAAUCUUUGUUCUUUCUCUCACUCUUUCCCAAAACAGGCUCUGCUCUAGGAGCUGCUCUAGGGAGGGCAAAACCUAAUUUUUAGAGGGUAAUCUAAAAGCGAUUGGGACCUUGUCUUAAUCUCAGAGAGAGUGGUCUUUAUUUCAUGUUCAACACACUCUUGGUGUUUGUGUUUAAAGGCUGGCUUCACACACAGUCUCCAAGUAUCACAAGCUACUUAUUUACAAAGGGAAGAGGUGUCUUAACAAUGGAGAAAGACAUCUCUUUAACCGAAUAAUGAAAUUUAACAUCACUUAUAAUGGAACAACUUACAACAAAGGGAAUUAAUAUAAAGGGAUAUUUUGUGUCCCUUGAUGUAAUGCACGGAGAAGCACACAUCACCAACAUGCCAUUCUUGCCAAAAAUGUUUGAUCUGAAUCUAAUCAUGAGGAAACAAACCUAAAUUGAGGAUAAUUCUGUAAAGCAGCUAGCCUAAACUCUUCAAAAAUGUCAGUGUCAUGAAAAAUGAGACUGGGGAAGUGUUCUAGAUGAAAAGAUUCUAAAGAGAUGUGACAGUUAAAUACAAUGUAUGAUUCUGAGUGGAAUCCUGGAUUGAUUGGGGGAAAAAAAAACAACUGUAAGGAAUAUUACUGGUGUAAUUAGAGAAAUUUGAAUGUGGACUAUAUAUUAGAAAAGAGUAUUACAUCAAUGUUAAUUUUCUUGAAUGUGAUAAUUGUACUGUGGUUACAAGGAGAAUAUCCUUGCUCUUGGGAGAUACGUGCUGAUAAGGGAUGAAAUGUACAAAGUCUGCAGUUUAGUCUCGGAUGGUUCAGCAAUAAAAUAAAAUAUGUAUGUGUGUAUGUGCGUAUAAAAAAUCUGGCUUCAUUUUUAUGAUAUGAGAAGUGAAACAAUCCAGAGCUAAGCACGUAAAUGGGUCUGUGCAACCUCUGGGGCGAUGAGAGUC
Molecule: long non-coding RNA, 5671 nt
Organism: Globicephala melas (long-finned pilot whale)
Lineage: Eukaryota; Metazoa; Chordata; Mammalia; Artiodactyla; Delphinidae
Source: RefSeq, a predicted model, not a curated record